Molecule: long non-coding RNA, 6408 nt
Filed under: Brassica napus (rape)
Lineage: Eukaryota; Viridiplantae; Streptophyta; Magnoliopsida; Brassicales; Brassicaceae
Description: long non-coding RNA (BNAP_LNC022336)
Source: RNAcentral
CGAAAAGGUGCUCGGUUCAUACACACACCGAAAAAGUGCUCGGUAACACACGCCCGUAGACGAUUUAUCGACACUUCCAGUCUACAGCUCAACCGGUCGACUAAAGUUGGCUGUGACCUCCAUACAAUCCGGCAUACAGCAGUCCGACUCUGUAUCCGUCUCCAAACAAAAACAAUCCUAGCUAAGAAUUUACAUUAAGUGAAACAAUCAAUGUUGAAUCCUCUAACCCCCUAGUUCCGGUUUAUGCAAAGAACCUAAAACUAAACAAGCAAUGAUAGACUCGAUUUCACACAGACGGAACACAUUAGAAAUAAAUUAUACUUAUUCGAGGUCCUAAGCCGAAUAAGAGGAGUUCGGGAAUAGACCCUCACCUUAGCAAUAGAAAAGUGUUGUCUAUGAACUCCAGCUGCUCAAAUAGACUCCAUAUCUGAAAUCAGAUCGAAAUUCUGAGUCAGAACGCCUUUCGAACGGUCGAAAACGGAACUGGUCAAGGUUUUCGAAAAAAGUCAACCCGCUGGUCAAAGUCAACCCGGUCAAAGUCAACCCGGAAAUCGAUUUGACUAAACCGACCGGUUUACCCUAACCGAACCAAAAUCAAUUUAAACCGGCUAACCAACCGGUUAACCGAGUCAACCGAGUUGACUCACUGAGUUGACUCGGCCGAGUUGACCGAGUCGCCGGUGAGUCACCGGUGUCGGUCACCGGCGGCGACGGCGGAGCUGCGGCGGCGGCUUACCGGAAAGUUGGCCGGCGGCGACGGCGGAGCUGCGGCGGCGGACGGUGGUCCGGCGGCGGAGCUGCGGUGGCGACGAUUUCCGGCGGCGGCGCGUGCGUUUCACGCGCGCGCGAAGGGCGGUUUUCUGGAGGCGCGUACGGCUGCGUCCGGGCUCCGUUUGAGGCGUGCUUGGUGUCUACGGCUUCGUCUCGACGAGAGGAACACGAUGAUGGGCUUGGAUGCACGAGAUUCGCAACGGUUAAGAAGUUAUGGUCGAUUUACCAAAACGGCCGAAACUAAACUCAAAAAUAUGGCGGUUUCCGGUUACCUUUGGUUGCGGAUGAUGGUGGUGACGAGCUUUACGACGUCCUGGCGUGUGGUGGCUCCGGCGACGAGCUCAGGUGAGCUUUCUCCCUUCUUCUUCUUCUUCUCUCUCUCUUUCUCUCUCUCUCUCUCUCUCUCUCUCUCUCUCUCUCUUUUUCUUAAUUUUAAAGAAGAUGGAGGUGGUGGGGAAGAAGGUGGAGAUGGUGGAGAAGAAGUUGGAAGUGGUGGGGUUGGAGAAAGAAGUGGAGAUGGUGGGAGUGGUGGGUCAUUACAAUUCUCCUCCACUUAUAAGGAAUUCGUCCCCGAAUUCAUGUCAUAAGCUAACGUGCCCAAUGUCAUCAUAGCAAAACCUCGAAUACUAAUCUUCGCUCGACCUUUCAGGUCUCCUCCUGGGUCUUAUCUCCCUCCCAAUGAACUCGGACAAACACAGUCGACAUUCCCCGAACUGUUUUCUCUUGAUGAUCCAAAAUCUCCAAUAGAUGAUAAGGUUCAUAAAAUCUUUAUGAACUCACUUGAUGUCUACUGCAAAAUAGUUAUAGCGCCUUCUCAACUUUUGCAAUGCUGUCAUAUGAACCAAGUACUAGAAGGCUGAUAUACUGCUGAUAAAGUAACUGCAAGCAAAUAAUCCAAUCCACUCCAGUGCAGGAUACAAUUCCAUGUGUCUCGGUUUAAGCUCCUUUAUCUUCUGAGUCUUAGGCCCCUCUUGAAAUGUCCUUAUUUUCAGGUAUAUUAAGUCGCCCAUAUGUAGCUCCAAAUAUUUAUGGCGCUUAGCUGCAUAAAUCUUCUGACGUCAUGGGAUUCCGAAAGCCCAUCAUUGAGCAUUUCCAUUUGCUCAGCCGUCUUUUGAACCAUUAAUACUUUUAACUCAUGUCGCUCCCCCACUUUGGUCCAACAAAGUGGUAUACUAUAAGGUCUACCAUAAAUAACCCUUGUAUAGUAAUUUUUUUUUUUUUUUUUUUUUUUUUUUUUUUUUUUUUUUUUUUUUUUUUUUUUUUUUUUUUUUUUUUUUUUUUUUUUUUUUUUUUUUUUUUUUUUUUUUUUUUUUUUUUUUUUUUUUUUUUUUUUUUUUUUUUUUUUUUUUUUUUUUUUUUUUUUUUUUUUUUUUUUUUUUUUUUUUUUUUUUUUUUUUUUUUUUUUUUUUUUUUUUUUUUUUUUUUUUUUUUUUUUUUUUUUUUUUUUUUUACUCGAAAGAUAAUUGUCGAUGUAGGCAAACUCUGGUAAAGGUAGAUGCUUUCCGAAAUUCCAUCCCACGCAAUCUCUGAACAUAUCAUUUAAGUCCUCAAUAGUCCUCUCUAACUGACAAUAUGUCAACGGGUGAUAAGAUGUACUCAUAUGAUCUUUGUACCAAGUGCCUUCCGAAAGGCUUUCUGAAAUGUAGAUGUGAACUUCGAUUCCCAAUCCGAUACAAUGUUGACAUCCAUGAAACUUCCUGAACUCAAUAAUGUAGGUCUGCUCCAAUUGAUUAGCCCUGAUUAUCUUCUUAAUUACUUAGGUAAUGGGCUGACUUGGUAAGUCUAUCCAUGACUACCCAUGUGGCAUCCUUUCCACAUAUGGUGAUUUAAAAUCCAAUAACAAUGUCCAUAAUCACCAUGCCUCAUUUCUACUCCAGCAAAAGCAAGCUCAAAAAUAACAUGAUAGAUGACUGAUCCUCUGUUAUUGCCAUAUAACAUGUCUGGCACCGCGACGUAAUGUAGUUACAAACAUCUUCAUACUACACCAAUUAUAGUUAACUCUUCAUAUCUUUGUACCCUUUGGUCUUCCCGAUGGGUAGAGAAACACGAGUGAUAUGUUUGUUGUAAGAUUCCUUUUCUUAACAACUUAUCGUCCAACACACAAACUCGGUUUCAGUACAAGUAUAUCCUGCUCAAAGCUGUAUGAUAUCCAAUACUCCCAAUCUCGAUCUGUUCAACCAAUCCAGAAUGCUAACUUGUGCUUGUGUAUCCUCCAUAGCAAAACUGCCUGCUCCAAAGUCCCAAGGACAUCUGUCUCUCCAUUGAUAGUAAUGACACCCAACCUGAGACUAGCAAAUCUCCAACUCAUGAACCUUCUUGGUUCCUGAGAUACAGCUCAUACGCCUACCCAAGGCAUUUAUCACCUGGUUGUCCUUACCAGAUAGUAUGCGAUAUCCAGACUAUAGCCUGCUACAAACUCAAUCCAACUGCACUGUCCAAGUACAAGUUUUUAAUAAAUGAAGAUAAAUUUCACAUUCUAAUAAUCCCAGAGAAUCUGAAUUUCCUUCCCGUACAAUUACGAUUUCCAAAACGAUAACGCAAAUACCACUACAGCCUCUCUGGCGUGAUGCAUAUGAAUGACUUAAUCCUCAUACCUUAAUUUAAAUCCAAUCCAGUAUCUGACACAUCACAGUAAGCCUCAGCCUCAGUAGAACCCAAAACUGGUGUCUUCAUUAGUUGUGCUUCAAUUCAGUGAAACUCCUUGAACAAAAAUCUAUCCAGCCACACUUUACGUCUUUACAUGCAGACCACGUCUUUAACAUUACUAUACCGGUGAAACCCUUGAUGAACUUCCAGUAGAACACUAUUAACCCAAAAAGAACGGCAGAUCUUUGUAGCGCUCUUAGGUUUCGACCUCCCCGAAACGGUAUUAAUCUUCUUUUGAUCCAUCAAAAUUCUGCUUCCAAAACCAUGUCAGCCAAAAAUACAACAUUCCUCUGCCAGAAGCUACACUUCCUCAACUUAGCGAACAACUGAUGCUCUCCAGGCUUAUCCAACGCAAUCCGCGAAAUGCUCACAAAUCUCCUUUCUUCUCCAAAAUAAAUCAGGAUGUCAUCGAUGAAUACAAUCGCACACCUAUCCAAAUGUUCAUGAAAACGUCAUUCAUAUCUUCAUGAAUGCAACAGUGCCUUUGUCGAGCCAAAUGGUAUCACUGCGUCCCAUAAUAUCCAUAAUGUAUACAAAAAUUCACAUUCAGUAGAUACUCUUCAAAUAUAGUAAUCUGAUGGUGUUCUGAUGCCAAGUCAACCUUCAAGAACUAUAAACUUCCUGUAAUAAUCCAAUAAUUCAUCAACGCGCGGAAGCGAUACUUAUCUUUAAUGGUCACUUUGUUCAGACCUUUGCAGUCGAUACAAAAUUGAAACUCCCACCUUUCUUCUUUACAACAACAAUGAUGAUGUUCCCCACGGUAAAGUACCCGGUCUGAUAAAACCCUUGUCUGAUGAAUCUUCAACAUGCUCUUUCAGCUUUGUCAUCUCUGUUGGUGCUAAUCGGUAUAAAACUUGUGAAACUGGUGUUGUUUGCUCCAAACAAAUCGCAAGAGUUUCUCAUGUGUCAUGUGAUGACCGUUCCAAAGGUCACAAAUAUGUCCUCAUACUCUGCAAUAACCGGAAGAUCCUGCAGCUCAUGUUGUCCAUCAGCCUUAACCAUCGAGAUGGUAGUCAAAAAUCUCUAUGUCCUUGUAUCCCAUAACUCCUCAGUAUGUAGCAUGCAUGCACUAACAACUUCCAUCUGCUCCAGCAAUCGGAACUCUUGCCAUCAGGCAAUCCAACACUACUUGAUGCCGUGACAAUCAAUCCGUCCCAAGGAUAACAUCGUAAAAACGUAGCUCCAUCUCUGAUGAAUAUCCGAACAAAUCGGCCCUCCAAGCAUAACUGGUACCCUGCGAUGGAUAUAAACAGCUCCCAAUGUCCUAUGUCAGUUGUCCAAACUGACACAUCUCUGAAACGAUCAACACUGCCAAAAUUGGUAAACAUACCAAAGUGUAACUCCAACACCCACACAACGCAAGCUGCUGCACCCCAAUUCAAAAGCGAUCUCCACGAGUUCACAAAACAAAUAUAUCUCCAAAAUAGUCAAUAUACUCGUACACACAACAACACAUGCCAACCAAUGGCUCAUAUCACACACCACAAAAUCUCCAGUAACAAAACUCGUGGAACGAUUGCUUGAAGUGGGCUGGUGGCAGAAACGUCAUAUAUCCACUCCUGGAUAGCCUCGAAAUCAUGUCCGAAGAAACUGAUAACUCCCGAGAAAACUGACGAACUUGGACUUCACGCAACUGCUGAACAUCUGUCGAGAACCUUAUUAGUCGAAGGACGAAUGACGAUGAUUUUACUCAUCGUCAUAGAAAGAGACAUUUGAGUUAGUAAUUACAGGACAGAAUGGUGCUAAAAGAAUUUCGAAAUGUAUAAAUAAAUAUAUAGUUUUUUUUUUUUUAAAGUUGAAAACCGAUGAAAACCGAAUCCCCUGACCGCCAUCCCGGACGGAACCGGGAUGGAACCCGCUCUGAUACCAAAUUGUGACACCCGUCACCUCCUAUAUGGAGGACAGCAUUAUCUGUGACACCCGUCACCUCCUAUAUGGAGGACAGCGUGUCACCCCCGACGCGUCAUCAUACAACAAUGUGAUACCCGUCUCCCUGACACUAAGGACGACGGGCCACCAACAAUAUCCUGUAAUAUAAAAGCCCAUAAACCCGACAACUCUCACCCAUGCCCAAAUAAAAUCCGAAAGAAAAGUCCAAUAGCACCAAGUCCGUCCAAAUAUCACAUACUUGUUUGUCUCACCUGAAAGGGGGAAGAGUGAGGGGUGAGCGACAGGGGAAUCGCUCAGUGAGGUAUGGGAUGCCACCCCGAAGUCCAUGGACCCGGACAUAGCACUCCGAAUAAAUAUAAUUUAAUUCUAAUGCAUGUCAAACACAGUACCUAAAGUACUCAAGCAACAAACAAUGGUCCUAGCGAGGUGCACACUCGCCGCCCACUAACAGGCCAAAACACUACCGAAAAGGUGCUCGGUUCAUACACACACCGAAAAAGUGCUCGGUAACACACGCCCGUAGACGAUUUAUCGACACUUCCAGUCUACGGCUCAACCGGUCGACUAAAGUUGGCCGUGACCUCCAUACAAUCCGGCAUACAGCAGUCCGACUCUGUAUCCGUCUCCAAACAAAAACAAUCCUAGCUAAGAAUUUACAUUAAGUGAAACAAUCAAUGUUGAAUCCUCUAACCCCCUAGUUCCGGUUUAUGCAAAGAACCUAAAACUAAACAAGCAAUGACAGACUCAAUUUCACACAGACGGAACACAUUAGAAAUAAAUUAUACUUAUUCGAGGUCCUAAGCCGAAUAAGAGGAGUUCGGGAAUAGACCCUCACCUUAGCAAUAGAAAAGUGUUGUCUAUGAACUCCAGCUGCUCAAAUAGACUCCAUAUCUGAAAUCAGAUCGAAAUUCUGAGUCAGAAGGCCUUUCGAACGGUCGAAAACGGAACUGGUCAAGGUUUUCGAAAAAGUCAACCCGCUGGUCAAAGUCAACCCGGUCAAAGUCAACCCGGAAAUCGAUUUGACUAAACCGACCGGUUUACCCUAACCGAACCAAAAUCAAUUUAAACCGGCUAACCAACCGGUUAACCGAGUCAACCGAG